RNAcentral lists this non-coding RNA (148 nucleotides) under Pan troglodytes (chimpanzee). The record is from Rfam by way of RNAcentral. Lineage: Eukaryota; Metazoa; Chordata; Mammalia; Primates; Hominidae.
GCCAGGUGUGGUGGUGCACACCUGUAAUCCCAGCUACUAGGGAGGCUGAGGCAGGAGAAUUGCUUGAACCUGGGAGGCAGAGGUUGCAGUGAGCUGAGAUUGCACCACUGCACUCCAGCCUGGGCAACAGAGCGAGACUCUGUCUCCA